CAAGGAAAAAAUGUUCACCCAUGCAAGUUCUCAACUUAAUUAACGACUAAAAUUUUCUUGUCGGUAUGGUCUCAACUGACAGAAAAAAUACAAACAUGGGUUGUGUACCGACAGGAAAAAUAAAGUCUCUGUCAGAUUGAAUAGGUGCAUACAUUUUUUUUACUAUUUUUUUCUAUACACAUAGAAAAAAUUUAAAAAAAAUAAACCCACAAAAUGCUCCCACCGAACGUGCGUGCCAAAUGGAAUGCCAAAAUGCCUCCUCCGGCGUGUUGUGCUCAGUGCUUGGUACAACAACAAAAUGUUGUAGCAGGCAAGUAAAAAACAAGAAACCCCCCAUUCAGAAAAAGGCUGAUCAGAAAAGAAAAACACAAAGUUUUCAUAUUUUUGUUGACAUGUGUAUCUAUCGAUAAUUUUUCUACAGCCAAACCACGUUUUCAUAUUAUAAAAUAUUUAUGGUUUUCAUCAUAGAGACUUUAUCGACGCUUAAGAUGGGGACAAAAAGUUCCAGAGGCAUCCUUACAAACUUGUAUCAGCAGCAGGAACCCAAGCAAAUUGAUGUGAUAAUGCAGGCCACU
This 575-nucleotide long non-coding RNA is filed under the name Sorghum bicolor (sorghum). Its description in RNAcentral is "long non-coding RNA (SBIC_LNC003376)". Lineage: Eukaryota; Viridiplantae; Streptophyta; Magnoliopsida; Poales; Poaceae. The record is from RNAcentral.